AUUGAACGCUGGCGGCAGGCCUAACACAUGCCAGUCGAACGGUAACAGGAAGCAGCUUGCUGCUUCGCUGACGAGUGGCGGACGGGUGAGUAAUGUCUGGGAAACUGCCUGAUGGAGGGGGAUAACUACUGGAAACGGUAGCUAAUACCGCAUAACGUCGCAAGACCAAAGAGGGGGACCUUAGGGCCUCUUGCCAUCGGAUGUGCCCAGAUGGGAUUAGCUAGUAGGUGGGGUAACGGCUCACCUAGGCGACGAUCCCUAGCUGGUCUGACAGGAUGACCAGCCACACUGGAACUGAGACACGGUCCAGACUCCUACGGGAGGCAGCAGUGGGGAAUAUUGCACAAUGGGCGCAAGCCUGAUGCAGCCAUGCCGCGUGUAUGAAGAAGGCCUUCGGGUUGUAAAGUACUUUCAGCGGGGAGGAAGGGAGUAAAGUUAAUACCUUUGCUCAUUGACGUUACCCGCAGAAGAAGCGCCGGCUAACUCCGUG
RNAcentral lists this ribosomal RNA (490 nucleotides) under uncultured bacterium. RNAcentral's name for it is "partial 16S ribosomal RNA". It matches the Rfam family "Bacterial small subunit ribosomal RNA", at positions 30 to 507 of the family's 1533-position model. The record is from RNAcentral.